GACGAACGCUGGCGGCGUGCCUAAUACAUGCAAGUAGAACGCUGAAGGAGGAGCUUGCUUCUCUGGAUGAGUUGCGAACGGGUGAGUAACGCGUAGGUAACCUGCCUGGUAGCGGGGGAUAACUAUUGGAAACGAUAGCUAAUACCGCAUAACAGUAGAUGUCGCAUGACAUUUGCUUAAAAGGUGCAAUUGCAUCACUACCAGAUGGACCUGCGUUGUAUUAGCUAGUUGGUGAGGUAACGGCUCACCAAGGCAACGAUACAUAGCCGACCUGAGAGGGUGAUCGGCCACACUGGGACUGAGACACGGCCCAGACUCCUACGGGAGGCAGCAGUAGGGAAUCUUCGGCAAUGGACGGAAGUCUGACCGAGCAACGCCGCGUGAGUGAAGAAGGUUUUCGGAUCGUAAAGCUCUGUUGUAAGAGAAGAACGAGUGUGAGAGUGGAAAGUUCACACUGUGACGGUAGCUUACCAGAAAGGGACGGCUAACUACGUG
RNAcentral lists this ribosomal RNA (495 nucleotides) under uncultured bacterium. RNAcentral's name for it is "partial 16S ribosomal RNA". It matches the Rfam family "Bacterial small subunit ribosomal RNA", at positions 28 to 507 of the family's 1533-position model. The record is from RNAcentral.